Molecule: long non-coding RNA, 414 nt
Organism: Saccostrea cuccullata (small rock oyster)
Lineage: Eukaryota; Metazoa; Mollusca; Bivalvia; Ostreida; Ostreidae
Exons: 3
Source: RefSeq, a predicted model, not a curated record
AUGUCCACGACAUAAUAGAGAUGAACAUGAUCUAAGUUGGAAACAGAUGCUCAAGUACUUAAGAGAGACAACUGUCCAGCAGGACACGUGCUGCCAGCGCUUGUUUUCCUGCAGAAGAUCAAGUGUGCUUAGAAACAGAGGCAUUAAAGGGGACAAGGAAGACAUCGAUGUUGAAAAAGGAGAAUCGUCAGUGAUUUUUAUUUAGUCUGAUUUCAUUAGUGUCUUCAAGUUGAAAAACAAUAUAAUUUAUAAUAGAUUGUAACAAUAGAAAAAUACAAUGUCAAUAAGUGUAUUAACUCUGAUGUAACUGUAUCAAUUUUUGACUGUCAAACCGACCAUGAAUGAUUUCUUUCAACUUUUUCUACUUGUUACAGUAAAAUUUGGACGUGAUUUAAUGUAGUCAAUGGUUUCUUU